This 468-nucleotide ribosomal RNA is filed under the name uncultured bacterium. RNAcentral's name for it is "partial 16S ribosomal RNA". It matches the Rfam family "Bacterial small subunit ribosomal RNA", at positions 28 to 507 of the family's 1533-position model. The record is from RNAcentral.
GACGAACGCUGGCGGCGUGCUUAACACAUGCAAGUCGAACGGAAAGGCCCUGCUUUUGUGGGGUGCUCGAGUGGCGAACGGGUGAGUAACACGUGAGUAACCUGCCCUUGACUUUGGGAUAACUUCAGGAAACUGGGGCUAAUACCGGAUAGGAGCUCCUGCUGCAUGGUGGGGGUUGGAAAGUUUCGGCGGUUAGGGAUGGACUCGCGGCUUAUCAGCUUGUUGGUGGGGUAGUGGCUUACCAAGGCUUUGACGGGUAGCCGGCCUGAGAGGGUGACCGGCCACAUUGGGACUGAGAUACGGCCCAGACUCCUACGGGAGGCAGCAGUGGGGAAUAUUGCACAAUGGGCGGAAGCCUGAUGCAGCAACGCCGCGUGCGGGAUGACGGCCUUCGGGUUGUAAACCGCUUUCGCCUGUGACGAAGCGUGAGUGACGGUAAUGGGUAAAGAAGCACCAGCUAACUACGUG